GACGAACGCUGGCGGCGUGCUUAACACAUGCAAGUCGAACGGAAAGGCCCUGCUUUUGUUGGGUGCUCGAGUGGCGAACGGGUGAGUAACACGUGAGUAACCUGCCCUUGACUUUGGGAUAACUUCAGGAAACUGGGGCUAAUACCGGAUAGGAGCUCCUGCUGCAUGGUGGGGGUUGGAAAGUUUCGGCGGUUGGGGAUGGACUCGCGGCUUAUCAGCUUGUUGGUGGGGUAGUGGCUUACCAAGGCUUUGACGGGUAGCCGGCAUGAGAGGGUGACCGGCCACAUUGGGCCUGAGAUACGGCCCAGAAUCCUACGGGAGGCAGCAGUGGGGAAUAUUGCACAAUGGGCGGAAGCCUGAUGCAGCAACGCCGCGUGCGGGAUGACGGCCUUCGGGUUGUAAACCGCUUUCGCCUGUGACGAAGCGUGAGUGACGGUAAUGGGUAAAGAAGCACCGGCUAACUACGUG
Molecule: ribosomal RNA, 468 nt
Filed under: uncultured bacterium
Lineage: Bacteria
Description: partial 16S ribosomal RNA
Rfam family: Bacterial small subunit ribosomal RNA
Source: RNAcentral